AGCAAGUGAUGUCUUUUCUCACGAUGGUCUAUGGAUGCCACUGUGGGCAGUGACAAUGAUGCCAAUCUCAGAAGAUACUAGGAG
Small nucleolar RNA from Dipodomys spectabilis (banner-tailed kangaroo rat), 84 nucleotides. RefSeq annotates it as small nucleolar RNA SNORD35. The transcript has a single exon. Lineage: Eukaryota; Metazoa; Chordata; Mammalia; Rodentia; Heteromyidae. The record is from RefSeq and is a predicted model, not a curated record.